Molecule: long non-coding RNA, 1221 nt
Organism: Physeter macrocephalus (sperm whale)
Lineage: Eukaryota; Metazoa; Chordata; Mammalia; Artiodactyla; Physeteridae
Exons: 5
Source: RefSeq, a predicted model, not a curated record
GUCGAAGAUGUCGGAGCCGGAGCCGCCGGUUGGCUGGAAGGCGCUUUCUCUGUGGAGGCCGACCUCGGGAGGGAGGGGGCCGGGGACGGCUCCGCGGAGGGAUCUGACGCACACGGAGCCGCAGCACAGGCUCUAUUCAGCGGCGCUGGCUGGGGCUGAGAUGGAAGUUAGUUUCUAUGUAGCAGAAAUAGGAAACAAAUGAAGCAAAACUGCCCAAAGAGGGGAAAUGCCCCGAGGAUGGGUCUCACUCUCACGCGCGCGCACAGACACACACGCAGAGAGCACUCUCACGCUGGGCAAACUCGGGAUCGCGCUACCCUGCCCGAGUUGAAUGAUAGUGUUUGGUUUCUCUCUUGCCAUGUGCAUGUGUAUAAAUGCUGCGGAUUGGCAUCUGUUUAUUAGAAGCGGUGUCACUGAAUAUCAUUAGGGAACAUCUUUCUUAAGAAUAUUGACCUCCUGGUUAUUUCACAAAAGACUAGAGAAACAAUUUACACACCUGGUGUGAAAAGGAGGGAAGAAAAAGCCUUCCUUUACUUUUUCAUAAGGAAAGAAACGAAGUGCCAAGCAGUAGGCAUUUUCUGUUUGUGAAGUAUAUAUACAAUUUUGUGUUACAAAAUUUUUCCUAUUUCAAUAUUUUUUGCCCAAGUCAAGUUUGUGAAGUUUCCAGUCUCAUAGUGACUGAAGAGGACUGCCAUUGACUCAAAGCACCCUCUGGUCAGUACUGCAUAACUUCACCUCUUUGAAACAUUUAGGAUGGAAAUUCACUUCAUUUUCAGAGCCAGAUCCCAUCAUGCCCAUAAAAAUGUUCGAAAAAGAAAUCCUUGAUGAACACAUAAUGGCAAAUUUCCACGGCACAACGUAUCCUCAUUGCAGCAUUCUGUGCACGAGCUGAAGAAUCAUCAUUUAAACACUGGCUUGCAGCUUGACCCUCAUUGUGUACUUUUAGUCCAACACAUGGAGAUGCCCUGUUCACUAGAGGCUGACGGUACGGAUGAGAGCUAAUCUGAAGCAGCUGAGACCCCCGUCUGAUGGCUACACCUGGAAAGCAGAGGUUUCUGCGAUGGUCUGGCCAAUCUCCAGAUAUUAUCAAUUAUCAAAACCCAACUUUAUUUAGCAGCAAUAUCAAUUUAUUGAAUGGACUACAAGAGAUAUGAAUCAAUGACUAUGCAUACCAUUCAAAUUUUAACUACAAGGAAUUCACAUUCCUGAAAUAAAAACAAA